AUGAUGACCGUGGAUAAGGUCAGUUGCUGUGCUAUAAUGAUAUCCCUGACUGACAUGGAUCAGUAUCAGUCUGAGGAAAAGCCUGGUGCACAUGCCUCCCAAAUGGUAAGUCCAGGCUUUUGCAAUCUGUGGAAAGUUAGUGCAAAUACUGUGCUCCACUUCCUUCCUCUCAGUGAGAUUUUGAAGUUCUGGUUUUAGUCGCUCAUGUCAGAUCAGGAAAUGCAGCAAAAAAAGGAAUUCUCAUGUUUCUGUUGUGAUGUGUAGGAUGAAGAGCUACAAGCAGAAGUGGGAUAUCUAGAUAUGUAAGUGUGAUGAAGAGGGUUCUCUAGUCUCCCUAUUAUUUGUUUUUUAAACUUUUGUCGCCCUCAAAAGUAAUUUUAGGGAAAGGGGGGAAAAGAGCAGCAAGGUGCCUUUAUAGAUGUUUCAGAUGCAACACAGCACAAGAGAGAGUUUUCUUGGAAUGUAAUGGUAGCAGAAGAUAAGAGUUGGAUAACCUGUGAAAGACCUAGAAGUAAAUAUGGUGGAAGUGUAAGACACAGGGGGACAAUUGCCUUCCUGUUCUGCUUGCUGACAUGGUGACUUGAAGAGCUGUUUCUAAACCUGGUUGAGCUCACACACAGAACUGCUGUAACUGGGUUCAGCUUCCUCAUGCAACAUGUGUCAUCACACAUGGUUUUCUGGCCAUCCCCUUGUGCUGUACAGGAUGGUUGGAGCUAUAUGUGUUAAUUUCUGGUGGUUUUAGCUCUUCUUUGCUGCUUGUUUCUAGAUUUGGCUCUACAUUCCUUUUAGUCACAGUCUGUGCUCUGAGCCACAUCUGACUGCUGAUUCCACCAUUGCUCGCUGCCUUGUCUGCUGGGGAUUCUCCUGGGAGCCAGGGAAGAAAGAGAACACCUAGGAAAGAAGUGGGGAAAUGGGAAGGUGGGGAGAAAAGGGGAGCAGAGUUUGUGUUAUUUUUUUUCUUACAGCACAAUGCCCUUCACAGUUUCCAUGCAAUAUGGCCUUUCUCUUCUUGUGGGCUGUGUUCCAGGGAAGGAUUUUUCAGUUAAUAAACCCUGAUUGAGUCAAAAAAGUCUGUUGCA
Molecule: long non-coding RNA, 1079 nt
Filed under: Junco hyemalis (dark-eyed junco)
Lineage: Eukaryota; Metazoa; Chordata; Aves; Passeriformes; Passerellidae
Description: lncRNA (ENSJHYG00000015097.1)
Source: RNAcentral